CCGGGUGUCCACCGGGUGUCCAUCGGGUGUCCAGCGGGUGUCCACCGGGUGUCAAACGGCUUCAUUUUCAUGGCAGAAUGCCGGAGGAAGUGGAAGACGCUGCGGGACCAGCACCGCAGGGAGAGGCAGCGGGAGAAGGACCGGCGGGAGAGCGGCAUCGGCCUCUUCAACUACCGGCCCUGGAGAUAUUCGGCCAUCUUGUCCUUUCUGAACCCGUUCAUCGACGCCAGAGCCGCGGGCUGCAACGGGUGGGCUCUGGACCCUCAGCCCCCCCAGCUCCACCCCUCUGAGACGGGCUGCAGCACCACCACGGACACCCGGAGCGACGACGAAGACCACUACGACGUCUCCGUAGUCGACGCCACAACAACCACCACCUCCUCCUCCUCCUCCUCGGAGUUCCUCCACAGGAAGCGUCCGUCUUCUGCCAGCAGAGACGGCGCCAUCGGGUUCAAGGAGGCGAAGAUGGAGUCAACCUCGGGGAUCGCCUGCGUUACGACGACGCCGCACGACAACAUGAGGGAGCUCUUUGAGGUGAUGAUGCAGUCGGUCACGUCUCUCGCCGCCUCCUUGGCCUCUUCCUCGGAUCAGCCUCCUCGUCCCGACCUCCGUCACCUCCCGCCACACCGAGCCCCCCCCGUGCCGCCCUGCACCGCGUCUAGGCUCAACCACUUGAAAACAGAGGAGCAGGAGGCCGUAGCGGCAGAGCUUCUGGACGACCGAACCGACGCCGAGGAGGAGGAGGAGGAGGAGGAGGCGUCCACUAGGCCGACCCGAGCCAGGAGCUGGAGCAGCGACGGCCUGCUGCAGGAGUACGUGAGGAGGAUGGAGGCCAGGGAGGCCCAGAGAGACCGGGACCUGGACCAGAGAGACCAUGUGACCCUGUUCCUCCUGAGCCUGGCUCCGGCCAUGAGGAGACUUCCUGCUGAGAAGCAGUCGUGGGUCAGGACCAAGAUGCAGCAGCUGCUGCACGAGGCCGAGUUCGGCGCUUUGAGUUUUCAGUGAUCCUUACAUGUUUUACAUUUUUAUCAAUACUUGUGAACUAAAAAAUAUAUUCACCUUCGAAGGAGUUUUUCUCCAUUUCUAUGAUAAUCUAACAGGUUUGUGCAGUUUUUUAAAAUAAAAACCCCAUUGUCAGUCA
Long non-coding RNA from Gasterosteus aculeatus aculeatus (three-spined stickleback), 1141 nucleotides. NCBI's taxonomy places the organism in Eukaryota, Metazoa, Chordata, Actinopteri, Perciformes, Gasterosteidae. The record is from Ensembl.